This 1342-nucleotide long non-coding RNA is filed under the name Gossypium barbadense (sea-island cotton). RNAcentral's name for it is "long non-coding RNA (GBAR_LNC014594)". The record is from RNAcentral. Lineage: Eukaryota; Viridiplantae; Streptophyta; Magnoliopsida; Malvales; Malvaceae.
AGGGCUACUUUGCAGUUUAUGUUGGAGAAAACCAGAAGAGGUUUGUGAUACCAGUGUCGUUCUUGAGCCAGCCUUUAUUUCAAGAUUUGCUAGGCAAGUCAGAAGAAGAGUUCGGAUAUAGUCAUCCUACCGGCGGCCUCACAAUUCCCUGCGAUGAAGAUAUUUUUCUUGAUGUUACCUCUCGCUUGAAUCAAUUGUGAGAGAAUCAACACAAAUCUGCCUAUACAAUUUUGUAAAGCAAAAAUGUCUAACACCAUGUAAACAUUUUUUCUCCAUCUUUUUUGCCUUGGGGAGCAAAUACAAGUCUCCCUGAGUGAAAAAUUACAGAUGGUUGUUACUGUAACUUCUAUCAAUCAGCAUGGAAAAUGACAGUUCAAAACACAUCAUUCAAUUGGAAUUUUAUUUACUUCCAGAAUUUCCUAUCAUUAAUUUAACUAUAAAUGAUCUACCUUGUUCUAAAUUUACUUUAAUAUACAUGCUAAGUUAUUCGGACUCUUCGUUUGCUUUAGAAUACAUGCAUCCAACACAUAAUCAAACAUGAGUACAAAAUAGCAUGAUUCUCCAAGUAUAUGAAAAAACUUAUAUCCCCUUAUUGCAAUCUUUUAGCCAAAGAGUUAAUAGCUUUGUUUCUUUUUCAAGUAGGAAUUAGUCUUUAUAUAUAAUAAUUAACAGUACAUGACUUAGUAAAAUUUUUUUUGAAGGUAAAACAUAUAAAAUGACUUUUUUUUAUUAGACAUAAAAUACAUAUAAAAAACCAUACAAAAUUGCUUAAAUGUAAAGAUGUAAAUGAAAGAGGAUAACCUUUGUGACAAAAAAGAAAACUAAAAUGAAGUUAUUUAAAUGAAAUAGGGACUUGAACAUAACUGUGAAAAAUAUAACAUGACCUAAAAUGAAAUUAACCCAAUAUCAAACUUUGAAUAUUAACUCAGAUUUUAAUGGCCUUCUUUUCUUUUCUUUCUUUCUUUCAUGGUUUUUUUUUUUUACCAAGUCAUGUACAAAUAAUGAAUAGUCAAAAUAUGCAGACAACACUCAACAAACAUGCCAUCAAACAAGUUGACCAAAACCAGAUUCAUCUGUAAGGUUAUCCAAAUAUAUAUAUAUAUAGCAGCACAUACCAGAAAUUUUGUGAGCUGUCAAGCUAAGUUUUGGCUUCACCCCUAUGGAACUGUUUGAUUGCAGCACGGCAUAGACAAGAACAAGGAUAAAAUGCAACCAAUUGGGUUCUGGUGAGGACUAGUUGCAGCCUGUAGGACACACUUCAGGUGCUCUUUACAAGGGUUUGUCUUACAGAUCUACACCUUACUAAAAAUCAACAUGCUUGGUGAAGUCAGAAUGUAAGAGG